RNAcentral lists this ribosomal RNA (497 nucleotides) under uncultured bacterium. RNAcentral describes it as "partial 16S ribosomal RNA". It matches the Rfam family "Bacterial small subunit ribosomal RNA", at positions 28 to 507 of the family's 1533-position model. The record is from RNAcentral.
GAUGAACGCUGGCGGCGUGCCUAAUACAUGCAAGUCGAGCGAACAGAUGAGGAGCUUGCUCCUCUGACGUUAGCGGCGGACGGGUGAGUAACACGUGGAUAACCUACCUAUAAGACUGGGAUAACUUCGGGAAACCGGAGCUAAUACCGGAUAAUAUAUUGAACCGCAUGGUUCAAUAGUGAAAGACGGUUUUGCUGUCACUUAUAGAUGGAUCCGCGCCGGAUUAGCUAGUUGGUAAGGUAACGGCUUACCAAGGCAACGAUGCGUAGCCGACCUGAGAGGGUGAUCGGCCACACUGGAACUGAGACACGGUCCAGACUCCUACGGGAGGCAGCAGUAGGGAAUCUUCCGCAAUGGGCGAAAGCCUGACGGAGCAACGCCGCGUGAGUGAUGAAGGUCUUCGGAUCGUAAAACUCUGUUAUUAGGGAAGAACAAAUGUGUAAGUAACUAUGCACGUCUUGACGGUACCUAAUCAGAAAGCCACGGCUAACUACGUG